Molecule: ribosomal RNA, 253 nt
Filed under: uncultured bacterium
Lineage: Bacteria
Description: partial 16S ribosomal RNA
Rfam family: Bacterial small subunit ribosomal RNA
Source: RNAcentral
CACGUAGGGGGCGAGCGUUGUCCGGAUUCAUUGGGCGUAAAGGGCGCGCAGGCGGCUCGGAAAGUCGGGUGUGAAAACUCGGGGCUCAACCCCGGGCGUGCAUCCGAUACUGCCGGGCUUGAGGCAGGUAGGGGAGAUCGGAAUUCCUGGUGUAGCGGUGAAAUGCGCAGAUAUCAGGAGGAACACCGGUGGCGAAGGCGGAUCUCUGGGCCGAUACUGACGCUGAGGAGCGAAAGCGUGGGGAGCGAACAGG